This 255-nucleotide long non-coding RNA is filed under the name Carica papaya (papaya). RNAcentral's name for it is "long non-coding RNA (CPAP_LNC004469)". Lineage: Eukaryota; Viridiplantae; Streptophyta; Magnoliopsida; Brassicales; Caricaceae. The record is from RNAcentral.
AAGGUUCGAGCAAAAGCUAGGAAAUUGAAUGUUGCAUAGUGCGAAAAAGUUGCUUAUUGAUUGUAAGACUAGGUGGAAUUUUGAAUAUCUAAUGUUUAGCAUUACAAUAAUUUGUAGGGAGACAUCUUAUUGACUCAAGCAAUGUGAUACAAAUUAUAAAGCUUUUCCAAGUCUGGAUGAGUGGGAUUUAACUGAAAAGAUUGGUGGUUGUUUGAUUUUUUUUUUUUGGUAGUAUGAUUGAAUUAUUUCCUGGAA